GUGCUCACCUCAGCAUUACAUAUAACACAUUUUGAAUGAUACAGAGAUUAACAUCGCCCUUGGGAAAGGAUGGCAAAUUUGUGAGCUGCUCCAUAUGUUU
Molecule: small nuclear RNA, 100 nt
Filed under: Choloepus hoffmanni (Hoffmann's two-fingered sloth)
Lineage: Eukaryota; Metazoa; Chordata; Mammalia; Pilosa; Megalonychidae
Source: RNAcentral